UAGGGUCUCUCUUGGGCCUGGAACUCACCAAGUAGACUAGGUUCCCUAGCUGCUGCUCUAACUCUGGGAUAACAAGAAUGCACAUCAUAUGUGGAUUCUUUUUAGAGGACCUGGGUUUGCUUCUUAGACCUGUGCAGUAGCUUGCAACUCCCUGCAACUUCGCUUCCCGAGUUUCUGACUCUCUUCACCAGCAAGGAGGUUUGGGAAAGGGCCGUGUGGCUGAGCUCCGAGCCGGACAGCAUUUGACCCAUGUGAACGCUACAGCAGAGGACGUUCCUAAUCAGACAGGAUGACUGCUCUGCACACGACAGUAAGCUGCUCUCCGUUUCCAGACUGCUUGAUGCUUGCUCGGAGUGCUCAAGGAGAGAAGGACUUGGGACAGGGGUAGAGGA
Molecule: long non-coding RNA, 392 nt
Organism: Rattus rattus (black rat)
Lineage: Eukaryota; Metazoa; Chordata; Mammalia; Rodentia; Muridae
Exons: 3
Source: RefSeq, a predicted model, not a curated record